GUUUGGAUCAAUAUCGAAGGAUGAAAUGGUCAUUUCGUUCCAGGAAAUGGCCAUUCUUAAAUAUGGCGGGAUAAGCACUACCGCCCCUCACAAAUUUUUGAAUAAGCAUUACUGCCCUAAAAUCUUCUUACUUUCCUCUUCUUCUUCUCUCUUUAUCACAUCCGUGCACUCCUUGUUCUGCAUCCAUUUGCUCAAUCUUUGUAGCUUCGUCCUUGUUCCAUCUCCUUCUCUCUCUGCUUACAGUUCGUCAUGGCUUGUUUGAGUAGAAAUUAUGAAAGGAGAAAAAGAAUUGUAGAUGUGUUCACAGUUUGGUUGGAGAUGUGUAUUGUUGUUAGUCGGUUUCUGUUGGCAGCAGUGUCAUCUUACAUACUCAUUGGCCAAGUGAAUCUACUUCAGCAAGGAAGAAGAGAAGCACCAAUGAGAAUGCUGGAGUGAUUUCAACUGAAUCACUUAUUGAUGCUGCCAUGUUUUUGAGUGAUAAAAUAAGACAGGUUAAAAUUAAUUUGAGCCAAAGUAUUGGAACUGAAAUGAUCAUCCUACAAAGGGCGCAAGAGUAUGAUGCGGCAUUAGGCAAGAUCGAAGGUUUGACAGAGGAUGAAAGGGAUAUAGCUUUAAGCAAAUUAAAUUCCUGAUCAUCCAACCCAAAUGCUUGUGUUUUUCAGUCUUCUGCCUAGCCAAAGACUUAGAUGGGUUAGAAUGUUUCUUAGCAACCAUUUGCAGAGGAUACUUUCUUCUGCUUAUGGGACAGUGUUUAAAUACUGCUUCUGGGAUAAUCUUAUUUGAUUGUCUUAUUUAAGUAGAAUUGUAGGAUUGUAGGGUUGUAGAAUUGUUAAUGUUUUGGGAAUUGAAUUGUAGAAUUGUCCUUUUGUUAA
This is a long non-coding RNA of Theobroma cacao (cacao), 872 nucleotides long. RefSeq lists it as uncharacterized. Lineage: Eukaryota; Viridiplantae; Streptophyta; Magnoliopsida; Malvales; Malvaceae. The record is from RefSeq and is a predicted model, not a curated record.